Molecule: ribosomal RNA, 722 nt
Filed under: Paraeuchaeta norvegica
Lineage: Eukaryota; Metazoa; Arthropoda; Copepoda; Calanoida; Euchaetidae
Description: SSU rRNA
Rfam family: Eukaryotic small subunit ribosomal RNA
Source: RNAcentral
GCGAAUGGCUCAUUAAAUCACACCUAAUCUACUGGAUAGUUAACAGUUACUUGGAUAACUGCGGUAAUUCUGGAGCUAAUACAUGCACAAAGCCCCGAACUUACGUGAGGGGCGCUUUUAUUAGAUCAAAACCAAACGGCUUCGGCUGUUCUCUUGGUGACUCUGAAUAACUUUGGGCUGAUCGCAUAGCCUAGCGCUGGCGACAUAUCCUUCGAAGGUGUGCCCUAUCAACUGUCGACUGUGGCAUAGACGCCCACAGUGGUUUUGACGGGUAACGGGGAAUCAGGGUUCGAUUCCGGAGAGGGAGCCUUAGAAACGGCUACCACAUCUAAGGAAGGCAGCAGGCACGCAAAUUACCCAAUGACCGAAGGUCGAGGUAGUGACGAAAAAUAACGAUACGGGACUCAUCUGAGGCCCCGUAAUCGGAAUGAGUACACUUUAAAACCGUCCCCGAGGAUCUAUUGGAGGGCAAGUCUGGUGCCAGCAGCCGCGGUAAUUCCAGCUCCAAUAGCGUAUAUUAAAGUUGUUGUGGUUAAAAAGCUCGUAGUUGGAUCUCGGCGGUCUGAGGGCGGUUCACUUGCUAGUGCUACUGCCCUAUAGACCGUAGUUUUGCCAGAGGUCUCAGGGUGCUCUUAAUCGAGUGUCUUGUGAUGCUGGCAGGUUUACUUUGAAAAAAAUUAGAGUGCUCAAAGCAGGCUUUUACGCCUGAAUAUUCGUGCAUG